GGGAAUAUAGCUCAAUUGGUACAGUGCUUGCCUCACAUGCACAAGGCCCUGGGUUCAAUUUCCAGCAUACCCC
RNAcentral lists this transfer RNA (73 nucleotides) under Ictidomys tridecemlineatus (thirteen-lined ground squirrel). RNAcentral describes it as "Spermophilus tridecemlineatus (thirteen-lined ground squirrel) tRNA". It matches the Rfam family "tRNA". Rfam says of the family: Transfer RNA (tRNA) molecules are approximately 80 nucleotides in length. Their secondary structure includes four short double-helical elements and three loops (D, anti-codon, and T loops). Lineage: Eukaryota; Metazoa; Chordata; Mammalia; Rodentia; Sciuridae. The record is from Rfam by way of RNAcentral.